CUAAGAAUCUUCCACAAUGGACGAAAGUCUGAUGGAGCGACGCCGCGUGAAUGAAGAAGGCCGAGAGGUUGUAAAAUUCUUUUAUGGAUGAGGAAUAAGUUGGGGAGUGGAACGCCCUGAUGAUGACGUUAAUCCAUGAAUAAGCUCCGGCUAAUUCCGUGCCAGCAGCCGCGGUAAUACGGAAGGAGCGAGCGUUGUUCGGAAUUAUUGGGCGUAAAGGGCGCGUAGGCUGUCAAACAAGUCUGUAGUCAAAUACCUCGGCUUAACUGAGGGAAGGCAAUGGAAACUGUUUGACUAGAAUUACCUAGGGGAAACUGGAAUUUCUAGUGUAGGGGUGGAAUCUGUUGAUAUUAGAAGGAACACCAAAGGCGAAGGCAAGUUUCUGGGGGAUAAUUGACGC
This 400-nucleotide ribosomal RNA is filed under the name uncultured bacterium. RNAcentral's name for it is "bacterial SSU rRNA". It matches the Rfam family "Bacterial small subunit ribosomal RNA", at positions 355 to 746 of the family's 1533-position model. The record is from RNAcentral.